Molecule: ribosomal RNA, 249 nt
Filed under: uncultured bacterium
Lineage: Bacteria
Description: partial 16S ribosomal RNA
Rfam family: Bacterial small subunit ribosomal RNA
Source: RNAcentral
CUUUCCUACGGGGGGCAGCAGUAGGGAAUCUUCCACAAUGGGCGAAAGCCUGAUGGAGCAACGCCGCGUGGGUGAAGAAGGUCUUCGGAUCGUAAAACCCUGUUGUUAGAGAAGAAAGUGCGUGAGAGUAACUGUUCACGUUUCGACGGUAUCUAACCAGAAAGCCACGGCGAACUACGUGCCAGCAGCCGCGGGAAUACGUAGGUGGCAAGCGUUAUCCGGAUGUAUUGGGCGUACAGGGAACGCAGG